Molecule: ribosomal RNA, 437 nt
Filed under: uncultured bacterium
Lineage: Bacteria
Description: partial 16S ribosomal RNA
Rfam family: Bacterial small subunit ribosomal RNA
Source: RNAcentral
AGCGAACGCUGGCGGCAGGCUUAACACAUGCAAGUCGAGCGGGCAUCCUUGUGGUGUCAGCGGCAGACGGGUGAGUAACGCGUGGGAACGUGCCCUUCGGUUCGGAAUAACUCAGGGAAACUUGAGCUAAUACCGGAUACGUGCGAGAGCAGAAAGGUUUAUCUGCCGAAGGAUCGGCCCGCGUCUGAUUAGCUAGUUGGUUAGGUUAUGGCUCACCAAGGCGACGAUCAGUAGCUGGUCUGAGAGGAUGAUCAGCCACACUGGGACUGAGACACGGCCCAGACUCCUACGGGAGGCAGCAGUGGGGAAUAUUGGACAAUGGGGGCAACCCUGAUCCAGCCAUGCCGCGUGAGUGAUGACGGCCUUAGGGUUGUAAAGCUCUUUUCUCCGGGACGAUAAUGACGGUACCGGAGGAAUAAGCCCCGGCUAACUUCGUG